AUUGAACGCUGGCGGCAUGCCUUACACAUGCAAGUCGAACGGCAGCACGGGUGCUUGCACCUGGUGGCGAGUGGCGAACGGGUGAGUAAUACAUCGGAACAUGUCCCGUAGUGGGGGAUAGCCCGGCGAAAGCCGGAUUAAUACCGCAUACGAUCUACGGCUGAAAGCGGGGGACCUUCGGGCCUCGCGCUUUAGGGUUGGCCGAUGGCUGAUUAGCUAGUUGGUGGGGUAAAGGCCUACCAAGGCGACGAUCAGUAGCUGGUCUGAGAGGACGACCAGCCACACUGGAACUGAGACACGGCCCAGACUCCUACGGGAGGCAGCAGUGGGGAAUUUUGGACAAUGGGCGAAAGCCUGAUCCAGCAAUGCCGCGUGUGUGAAGAAGGCCUUCGGGUUGUAAAGCACUUUUGUCCGGAAAGAAAACCUUGGCCCUAAUACGGUCGGGGGAUGACGGUACCGGAAGAAUAAGCACCGGCUAACUACGUG
RNAcentral lists this ribosomal RNA (486 nucleotides) under uncultured bacterium. RNAcentral's name for it is "partial 16S ribosomal RNA". It matches the Rfam family "Bacterial small subunit ribosomal RNA", at positions 30 to 507 of the family's 1533-position model. The record is from RNAcentral.